GAGCCUCUGGCCUGCGGAGACGGACAACGGCGGACCCUGGCGAACAGCCAGCCGAGGACUUUUAAUCCGCGGGUUGUGGGUUCGAUCCCCACGGGGCCCA
Molecule: transfer RNA, 100 nt
Filed under: Chloroflexota bacterium
Lineage: Bacteria; Bacillati; Chloroflexota
Description: tRNA-Lys
Source: RNAcentral